GGAGAGGUGGCAGAGUUGGUCGAAUGCGUCUGAUUUGAAAUCAGAAAGGACUUUACAAUCCUCGUGGGUUCGAAUCCCACUCUCUCCU
This 88-nucleotide transfer RNA is filed under the name Cryptomonas sp. CCAC 1634B. RNAcentral describes it as "tRNA-Ser". It matches the Rfam family "tRNA". Rfam says of the family: Transfer RNA (tRNA) molecules are approximately 80 nucleotides in length. Lineage: Eukaryota; Cryptophyceae; Cryptomonadales; Cryptomonadaceae. The record is from RNAcentral.